RNAcentral lists this ribosomal RNA (781 nucleotides) under uncultured Achromobacter sp. Its description in RNAcentral is "bacterial SSU rRNA". It matches the Rfam family "Bacterial small subunit ribosomal RNA", at positions 9 to 785 of the family's 1533-position model. Lineage: Bacteria; Pseudomonadati; Pseudomonadota; Betaproteobacteria; Burkholderiales; Alcaligenaceae. The record is from RNAcentral.
GAGUUUGAUCCUGGCUCAGAUUGAACGCUAGCGGGAUGCCUUACACAUGCAAGUCGAACGGCAGCACGGACUUCGGUCUGGUGGCGAGUGGCGAACGGGUGAGUAAUGUAUCGGAACGUGCCCAGUAGCGGGGGAUAACUACGCGAAAGCGUAGCUAGUACCGCAUACGCUCUACGGGGGAAAGCAGGGGAUCGUAAGACCUUGCACUAUUGGAGCGGCCGAUAUCGGAUUAGCUAGUUGGUGGGGUAACGGCUCACCAAGGCGACGAUCCGUAGCUAGUUUGAGAGGACGACCAGCCACACUGGGACUGAGACACGGCCCAGACUCCUACGGGAGGCAGCAGUGGGGAAUUUUGGACAAUGGGGGAAACCCUGAUCCAGCCAUCCCGCGUGUGCGAUGAAGGCCUUCGGGUUGUAAAGCACUUUUGGCAGGAAAGAAACGUCACGGGUUAAUACCCCGUGAAACUGACGGUACCUGCAGAAUAAGCACCGGCUAACUACGUGCCAGCAGCCGCGGUAAUACGUAGGGUGCAAGCGUUAAUCGGAAUUACUGGGCGUAAAGCGUGCGCAGGCGGUUCGGAAAGAAAGAUGUGAAAUCCCAGAGCUUAACUUUGGAACUGCAUUUUUAACUACCGGGCUAGAGUGUGUCAGAGGGAGGUGGAAUUCCGCGUGUAGCAGUGAAAUGCGUAGAUAUGCGGAGGAACACCGAUGGCGAAAGCAGCCUCCUGGGAUAACACUGACGCUCAUGCACGAAAGCGUGGGGAGCAAGCAGGAUUAGAUAC